This is a small nucleolar RNA of Diceros bicornis minor, 69 nucleotides long. RefSeq annotates it as small nucleolar RNA SNORD73. NCBI's taxonomy places the organism in Eukaryota, Metazoa, Chordata, Mammalia, Perissodactyla, Rhinocerotidae. The record is from RefSeq and is a predicted model, not a curated record. The transcript has a single exon.
AAUAAGUGAUGACAGAAUGUUUCGGUCCCAGAUGUCCAGUGAUAAAACUGUUAACAUUUUUCUGAUGUU